CCCGGCGCCGCCGCUGACACGAGUUGUUCUCGGCUCGCCUUCUCUCUUUCCUUCCCGAGCGCCGGCAGGCACCGGGGAAGGAAGCGGACGGCAGCGCGCCUUCCCCGCCGCUGCCGCUGCCGCGGGGGCCGCAGGUCCGAGGACGGGGCUCGCGGCUCGGACAGGCGGCCGCCGCGGCGCAGAGGCCUUACCGAGCUGGCGACGGGAGCCAGAAGGCACACACGCAACUUAUUUCUGGGAUCUCGAAGGCAGAAAGCGGUCUGACAGAGGUGGUCGGAGCUUCCCGGAGCCGCGCAGCGCGCUGUCCUACAGACGGAGUUCAGAAAGGGGGCUAGCGGACACGGACUGAGAUGCUGCGCUAAUUGAAUACGCCCUGGCUAAGCCCACCACACCAAAACCCGCCAGCUCUGGAGAAGAAAAAGAACUAUGUUUCCUGCAGACUGCUUCCUGAAAGAUGUUAUCAUUGGAAAAUACACUUAUGCGGUAUAUUGGCUCCUAAGACACCAGUCUGAUUACAUCUUAUUCACUAAAUCAAGCUGUAGGUGCCCUCUCAAAGAGAUGCAGAAAGAUGAGAUGGAUGGCAAGAGGAAGAAAAGCCACAUCAUCAGAAACAGAGCUAGCUUGUGCUCCGCCGCCCCAGCUGGAACACAGCAGCAAGACCAAACAGAAAACCUCCUUGGACUCCGUCUUGCUGGGGACCCUGGUACAGCUCUACCCUCCCACUUUUCACGAGACUAACAAGGACAUUUUUUUUUCCAUUGCAAACCAAGAUACCUCAUGUUCUAUUUUAUGGGAGAUGUUGUAGUUUACUUUGAACAAAAAUUAUUUUCAAUUCAAAUAGAAUAGCCCUAAUUCCUAGCUGGUUUUCCUUAGUCUGUAGCUGUUAUAAGUCUAUUAAAAGUAAACUUAGAAAACCAAACCAGUCAUCUUAUCAUAAAGUUAGAGUUUUUGCUGGAACAGUCCUUCAAACAUGAUACAUAGAAAUAUUACUAUCAGCUGAAGAGAAUUCUUACGAUUUUCUUUCAUUAGCAUACUCAAAACAGCAAAGUAAAUGAUUAUUUAGUAAAUAAUUUGGAAUAAGCGAGUGUGGUUUAAGACAGGCUGCUGAACUGGAGUAAAGAAAUUAUAAAGACUGACUUCUCUUUGGGGGCAAAGUUCAAAUUUCAGCUACUAGAUGUUGCUGGGAGAAGGUGAGGGUAUAGCAUCCGAAGGGAUUGCUAAUAAUGAAGUCACCUUGAAGGUGUAUUAGUAUUACAACUGCUUAACAAAGUCACAGGCUAAUGUUAUUUCAAUGAUAAAUCAAGUGUGGCAAAUUGGUGGCUCUAUCAGCAAGAGAGACACUGAUACCAAAGUUGUGUAUUCCUAGAAAUAUAUACAUAAGAUGAAGUAACUUGUUUGCAACACGUUUAUGUAAACUGCUGAAAUGAAACUAGUCCUAAGCUGCUUUCAGGAGUAAAGUUCUAUGGAAUCACAACAGAU
Molecule: long non-coding RNA, 1479 nt
Organism: Rhea pennata
Lineage: Eukaryota; Metazoa; Chordata; Aves; Rheiformes; Rheidae
Exons: 3
Source: RefSeq, a predicted model, not a curated record